CGUAUGGUGUAAGGUGGCUUGCGGGCCGACGUUAUGGCGAUACGGCUUCUGACAGAGGU
Actinobacillus succinogenes 130Z is the source of this 59-nucleotide regulatory RNA element. It matches the Rfam family "L31-Gammaproteobacteria ribosomal protein leader". NCBI's taxonomy places the organism in Bacteria, Pseudomonadati, Pseudomonadota, Gammaproteobacteria, Pasteurellales, Pasteurellaceae. The record is from Rfam.